UUAAGCGACUAAGCGUACACGGUGGAUGCCCUGGCAGUCAGAGGCGAUGAAGGACGUGCUAAUCUGCGAUAAGCGUCGGUAAGGUGAUAUGAACCGUUAUAACCGGCGAUUUCCGAAUGGGGAAACCCAGUGUGUUUCGACACACUAUCAUUAACUGAAUCCAUAGGUUAAUGAGGCGAACCGGGGGAACUGAAACAUCUAAGUACCCCGAGGAAAAGAAAUCAACCGAGAUUCCCCCAGUAGCGGCGAGCGAACGGGGAGCAGCCCAGAGCCUGAAUCAGUGUGUGUGUUAGUGGAAGCGUCUGGAAAGGCGCGCGAUACAGGGUGACAGCCCCGUACACAAAAAUGCACAUGCUGUGAGCUCGAUGAGUAGGGCGGGACACGUGGUAUCCUGUCUGAAUAUGGGGGGACCAUCCUCCAAGGCUAAAUACUCCUGACUGACCGAUAGUGAACCAGUACCGUGAGGGAAAGGCGAAAAGAACCCCGGCGAGGGGAGUGAAAAAGAACCUGAAACCGUGUACGUACAAGCAGUGGGAGCACGCUUAGGCGUGUGACUGCGUACCUUUUGUAUAAUGGGUCAGCGACUUAUAUUCUGUAGCAAGGUUAACCGAAUAGGGGAGCCGAAGGGAAACCGAGUCUUAACUGGGCGUUAAGUUGCAGGGUAUAGACCCGAAACCCGGUGAUCUAGCCAUGGGCAGGUUGAAGGUUGGGUAACACUAACUGGAGGACCGAACCGACUAAUGUUGAAAAAUUAGCGGAUGACUUGUGGCUGGGGGUGAAAGGCCAAUCAAACCGGGAGAUAGCUGGUUCUCCCCGAAAGCUAUUUAGGUAGCGCCUCGUGAAUUCAUCUCCGGGGGUAGAGCACUGUUUCGGCAAGGGGGUCAUCCCGACUUACCAACCCGAUGCAAACUGCGAAUACCGGAGAAUGUUAUCACGGGAGACACACGGCGGGUGCUAACGUCCGUCGUGAAGAGGGAAACAACCCAGACCGCCAGCUAAGGUCCCAAAGUCAUGGUUAAGUGGGAAACGAUGUGGGAAGGCCCAGACAGCCAGGAUGUUGGCUUAGAAGCAGCCAUCAUUUAAAGAAAGCGUAAUAGCUCACUGGUCGAGUCGGCCUGCGCGGAAGAUGUAACGGGGCUAAACCAUGCACCGAAGCUGCGGCAGCGACGCUGAUGCGUUGUUGGGUAGGGGAGCGUUCUGUAAGCCUGCGAAGGUGUGCUGUGAGGCAUGCUGGAGGUAUCAGAAGUGCGAAUGCUGACAUAAGUAACGAUAAAGCGGGUGAAAAGCCCGCUCGCCGGAAGACCAAGGGUUCCUGUCCAACGUUAAUCGGGGCAGGGUGAGUCGACCCCUAAGGCGAGGCCGAAAGGCGUAGUCGAUGGGAAACAGGUUAAUAUUCCUGUACUUGGUGUUACUGCGAAGGGGGGACGGAGAAGGCUAUGUUGGCCGGGCGACGGUUGUCCCGGUUUAAGCGUGUAGGCUGGUUUUCCAGGCAAAUCCGGAAAAUCAAGGCUGAGGCGUGAUGACGAGGCACUACGGUGCUGAAGCAACAAAUGCCCUGCUUCCAGGAAAAGCCUCUAAGCAUCAGGUAACAUCAAAUCGUACCCCAAACCGACACAGGUGGUCAGGUAGAGAAUACCAAGGCGCUUGAGAGAACUCGGGUGAAGGAACUAGGCAAAAUGGUGCCGUAACUUCGGGAGAAGGCACGCUGAUAUGUAGGUGAAGUCCCUCGCGGAUGGAGCUGAAAUCAGUCGAAGAUACCAGCUGGCUGCAACUGUUUAUUAAAAACACAGCACUGUGCAAACACGAAAGUGGACGUAUACGGUGUGACGCCUGCCCGGUGCCGGAAGGUUAAUUGAUGGGGUUAGCGCAAGCGAAGCUCUUGAUCGAAGCCCCGGUAAACGGCGGCCGUAACUAUAACGGUCCUAAGGUAGCGAAAUUCCUUGUCGGGUAAGUUCCGACCUGCACGAAUGGCGUAAUGAUGGCCAGGCUGUCUCCACCCGAGACUCAGUGAAAUUGAACUCGCUGUGAAGAUGCAGUGUACCCGCGGCAAGACGGAAAGACCCCGUGAACCUUUACUAUAGCUUGACACUGAACAUUGAGCCUUGAUGUGUAGGAUAGGUGGGAGGCUUUGAAGUGUGGACGCCAGUCUGCAUGGAGCCGACCUUGAAAUACCACCCUUUAAUGUUUGAUGUUCUAACGUUGACCCGUAAUCCGGGUUGCGGACAGUGUCUGGUGGGUAGUUUGACUGGGGCGGUCUCCUCCUAAAGAGUAACGGAGGAGCACGAAGGUUGGCUAAUCCUGGUCGGACAUCAGGAGGUUAGUGCAAUGGCAUAAGCCAGCUUGACUGCGAGCGUGACGGCGCGAGCAGGUGCGAAAGCAGGUCAUAGUGAUCCGGUGGUUCUGAAUGGAAGGGCCAUCGCUCAACGGAUAAAAGGUACUCCGGGGAUAACAGGCUGAUACCGCCCAAGAGUUCAUAUCGACGGCGGUGUUUGGCACCUCGAUGUCGGCUCAUCACAUCCUGGGGCUGAAGUAGGUCCCAAGGGUAUGGCUGUUCGCCAUUUAAAGUGGUACGCGAGCUGGGUUUAGAACGUCGUGAGACAGUUCGGUCCCUAUCUGCCGUGGGCGCUGGAGAACUGAGGGGGGCUGCUCCUAGUACGAGAGGACCGGAGUGGACGCAUCACUGGUGUUCGGGUUGUCAUGCCAAUGGCACUGCCCGGUAGCUAAAUGCGGAAGAGAUAAGUGCUGAAAGCAUCUAAGCACGAAACUUGCCCCGAGAUGAGUUCUCCCUGACUCCUUGAGAGUCCUGAAGGAACGUUGAAGACGACGACGUUGAUAGGCCGGGUGUGUAAGCGCAGCGAUGCGUUGAGCUAACCGGUACUAAUGAACCGUGAGGCUUAACCU
This 2901-nucleotide ribosomal RNA is filed under the name Escherichia coli. RNAcentral's name for it is "23S ribosomal RNA". It matches the Rfam family "Bacterial large subunit ribosomal RNA". The record is from RNAcentral. Lineage: Bacteria; Pseudomonadati; Pseudomonadota; Gammaproteobacteria; Enterobacterales; Enterobacteriaceae.